RNAcentral lists this unclassified non-coding RNA (336 nucleotides) under soil metagenome. RNAcentral's name for it is "partial contains 5.8S ribosomal RNA, internal transcribed spacer 2, and large subunit ribosomal RNA". The stretch from base 1 to 120 matches the Rfam family "5.8S ribosomal RNA", at positions 35 to 154 of the family's 154-position model. The record is from RNAcentral.
GAUGAAGAACGUAGCGAAAUGCGAUAAGUAAUGUGAAUUGCAGAAUUCAGUGAAUCAUCGAAUCUUUGAACGCACAUUGCGCCCGCCAGUAUUCUGGCGGGCAUGCCUGUCCGAGCGUCAUUUCAACCAUCAAGCCCCGGGCUUGUGUUGGGGACCUGCGUCCGACGCAGGCCCCGAAAACCAGUGGCGGGCUCGCUGUCCACACCGAGCGUAGUAGCAUACACAUCGCUCAGGGCGUGCUGCGGGUUCCGGCCGUUAAACCCCUUUUUUACCCAAGGUUGACCUCGGAUCAGGUAGGAAGACCCGCUGAACUUAAGCAUAUCAAUAAGCGGAGGA